This 6137-nucleotide long non-coding RNA is filed under the name Populus trichocarpa (black cottonwood). RNAcentral's name for it is "long non-coding RNA (PTRI_LNC003878)". The record is from RNAcentral. Lineage: Eukaryota; Viridiplantae; Streptophyta; Magnoliopsida; Malpighiales; Salicaceae.
ACAGUACUGAUCAGAAAGCAUACGUCUUGGUCUUUGGAGAAUCAGCGAUCUUCAAUGUCUCUUCAACGAGCUUCCUGGCCUUCCUGCUUCUUAUUUCAACUCUCAUGCUCUCACUCUUCUCAAUCUUAUCAUAAGGUUUCUUCAUCUUCAAGAACCUCAUUCUGGAUUUCAAGAACACCAUCAACCUCUCUAGUCCCAUCAUCACCAUGGCUAGCUCUAGCUAUUUAAAAUUACCUGCUAUUCAAGUAAUCAAUGAUUUUAACCGCUUUUAAACAAACACAGAGAUGAAAAAGGGAAAAGAAGCUAAAGAGUACCUACCUACCUACCUCAAAGGAAUUACUUGCAAGAAGAUAAAACUUUAGCUGGGAAAAGAAAUCAGCAAGAUUGUUUUCUUAUAAUUAUCAGAGGACUAAAAUUAAGGAGUGAAUGGCGGUACCACUUUCGAAGAGGAGUUAACCAGGGAGAGCAGAGGAGAGAAGAAGUGGAAGGGAACAAGUGACGGAGAUGAAAUGAGUGAAUGUAUGUAACUGUAGAGGCAGACAAACAAUACUUAUAGCUUUUUAUGAUUUUCCAUAGUUUUGAUACGAUGAUAUCUCAAGAACAAAUUUAAAAAAACAAAAAAACUAUUACUUCAAUUUGUUUUUUAAAAAUAAAUUCACUUCUGUGGCAGAUUACUACUGCACAAAACAUUAAAUUAAAAUAAAAACCCUGGUCAGGAAUUAAUGGGGGUGUGUGUGUGUGGUCCUAAUUAAUAAUUAGAAAUCAGCAUGACCGAGGGGCUGCAAAAAUAAAUUCCUGCCGUGUACAAAAGUACUGCAAUAUUAAAUUUCAAGAUCAACAGAGGAGAAAGGUCAAAUGAUUUGUUAAUGGAGGGAGGCAUGACAUCAGCUUACAGAGGCCAUCAAGUUGUUCGAAGGAUGAGUUUGACUUUACACUUUAAGUAGCUUAAGAAAUUUGAGUGAUAAAAUUAUUUAAGAUAUGAUGUUUGCAAAAUAAUAUGGGGAAUUAGCUCCUUGGUUGUCUUCAAAGGGUGUUCGUGGUAAUAAUAAUAAUAAUUAGAUUGGAGUGUUGUAAUCCAAUUUCAACUCUUUUUUUAUAUAUUUUUUUAAAUAAUAAUAAAAAAAAACAUGUUUUCGAUGCAUAUCGGUUAUUUGCAUGCUUUUUUUGGGAUUUUUAAUUAUUUCUUUAAUCAAAUUGAAGUUAACGUUGUUUUUGUGAGAAAAAAAAUAUAAAAAUAUUAAAAAUUAAAAUAGAGAGUAAAAUAGAACAAGCAGCUAAAGUGCAAAAUAAAAAAAAUAAAAAAAUGAUCAAAAUAAAAUGGAUUUGUUUGGGGAUUAAAUAAUAAAAGUCCAAUGGGCUAAGAGUAAAAAAAAAAAAUGAGGAAUCAAAAUAAAAUAAAAUUACUUGAGGACCAUAAAAAUAAAAAAAUACAUUCCUGAACCAUCAUUAUUGUUUUUAGAGAAUAUGAGCUGAAAGGUAGAAAAUAAACCUUAGAAGAAAGUAAUUCAUCUUCUCCUAGUUUUCUCUCGCAAAAACCCUAAUUUUGUUUUUCUCUUUCUAAAUUCAAAACUUCCCUCCUUGAUUUCUCUCAUAUUCGAUCUCCAUUUCUGCAAGACUACCACCAUUUUCUUUGUUUUGAAUCACUAAACAAGCCCUCAAUUAAUUGAAUCCAACAAUCCUUACAUCAUCAUCAAUCAAGGAGACAUAGAAAACAACUCUCAAAACUUCUUCUUUUGAUUUCUCUCUCCUCCAACCUUCAAAGAAAGGUGAGAUGACUAUCAUUUUUCUUCUUUUAAUGAACAUUACACAAUCAUAUAAGCUUUUAACCUAAUGAUAAGCUUUUAACCUAAUGAAGCUUUUGUGAGGAACUAGAGAGAGAAAAUCAAGAAAAUACUUAAAAAGGAAAAAUCUAGUAGCACACCGCUAUUUAAUGAUGCUAAAUCUCCUUAUAUGGCCGACAAUGGAUUACAUCAUUCCUUUUUGUUAUUUUUUUUUUCAUCUUUAUACUUUUUAAAAAAAAUAUAUAUUAUUUUUUUAUUCUUACAUUUAACCUAUUUAUACCAUUUAUUUUUUUUAUUCUUUUGUAAUAUUUUUUUUAAUGUUUUUUUCUUUACACUUUUUGUUUUGAAAAAUUUAUUCGACACGGACAAAAAAAUAGUAUUUUACUAUAGUAAUUGUAAUAUUAUUUUAUUUUUUGACUACGUUAAAAAUUAACUUAAAAUUUUAUAUUUUUAUUAAUACACAUGAUCUUUAUUAUAUUUUAUUAUAUAUAAAUUUUGAUUUUGUGAUUCACGGUUAUAUUUUUUACUUGAUGUAAAAAAUAUAUUAAUAACACGUGCAUAUUAAUUUUUUUACAUUAAAUAAAUAUAUUAAUAUUUUAUUUAGUUUUUUUUUUUAAAAAAACUUAUCCCACCCGCAUCAAAACCCAAAUCAUAUAACUAGUGCACUUUCUAUUGUGCAGGGCAGUUGAGUUUUGUUUUUAAUUUAAGAACCUCGAGAACUGUAUAAUCAAUUGACUCCUUGCAAUACGAGACAAGGUCUUGCUUGUAUGGACAUGAAUGUAGCAUAUGCACUCCUUCUUGUGUUUAUUCCCUUGUCUAGUUCUACAAUAAAUGAAGAUUCUUACCACUUGGAUUUUCUUAAACCACCCACCUUUGUUUCGCGACCCUCUUGGACUGCCGUGUACCAUUUUAUGUGGACACUCCUCUCUCUAAAUAUAAAAAUAAAAUUUUUGAGAGGUAUAGCUUAACUGAUCAAUUUUUAAAUUUGUAUUUUGAAAUUACCAGUUCGAGUUUUAUAAAUUUUAGGGUCAUUGGUAGGUGUGAGCAAAAAAACCGAAAAACUGAUUAAACCGAGAAAACCGGAAAAAAAUAACCGAACUGAAAAAAAACCGAUUAAAAUUUUGAAAAAACCGACCAGAUCGGUUCGGUUUUAUAAGCAAAAAACCAAAAAAACCGAACCGAAACCAAAAAAAACCGAGCCAAACCGAGCCAACCCGGAAAACCGAGCCAAAACCGAGCCAAACCGGUUUGAACCGGUUUUUCCCCUAAAAAAACCGAACCGAAACCGGUCGGUUUGACUCGGUUUCGGUUCGGUUUCGGUUUUUUUUUUAAUAAUAAUUUCGGUUUGGUUACUUUUUUUUAUAAAAACCGAACCGAACCGAAAAUAAUCACACCUAGUCAUUGGAGGCUUACAUGAUCGUUAAUUUUAGAACCUGUAGAAUUAAUUGAGAUACAUACAAAUUAGUUUGAAUACUUAUAUUAAUAAAAUAAAAUAAAAAUAUAGGGGAAGAUAAGUGAGAAUGGACUUCCUUUUUUAAAAUAAAUAAAUAAAAGAUUCUUGAACACACGAUGUGUCCACCUUCAAAUCUUGAUUUCAUGUCCAAAUAAGUGCCACAUCAUGACCAACUUUCCAUGUUUUGUCUCGUAUGAAUAUUCUUAGCCUCCCUUUCCCUUUACAUUCUAUCUUGCUAAUAUUAAUAUAUAUAUUUUUAAUUUAAUAUGGGUGUCCGAACCAGUUUAUGCGCAUCUCGACUAAUCUCAUGGGCCCUGAAGUUAACGACCAUGUAAGCCUCCAGUGACCAUCAUAUGAGCAACGACAGGGAUCGAACCUGAGACCAUAGAGAGAACAAACAUCUUGAUCUCAAGCUCUUAUCACUGGUUACCACCUGGAUAAUUUGCUAAUAUUAAUAUUGAAAGGGCAAGUGGGAUGCGAUAUGGACGCCUUUUUUAUGCUUUAUAUUCCAUUAUCAUUCAUCACUUCUUAUCACCUUGGACCGUAGUACUCUUUCAGGCAUGGAUUAAUUAUUUGUCGUCUUUAUUAGCUAGCUUUAUAACGUGGAUUGACUUAACGAUGAUCCAUAAUAUGAACAUAUAUAUAGUUGGUGGGUUAUCAAUAUUGGUCAGCUCCCAAAUUGUUAGAGACUGGAGUGCAAACUUGAAAUUCUUUCACACUGAGAUAUUUACUUCUUAUCCAGGAAAAAAUAUAUUAAAAUAAGUAUAGUUAAUGUGUACCCUUUUAUUAUUUUCACAUAUUUCACCUCUUCUCCUCCUCAUUUUACCAGAAAGACCAUAACUUUUUUUUUUUUUUCUAAAUCUUGUUAUCUAGAAGUCUACGAAACCUAACUAAUUUGAUCAAACCGGGUUGGGUCAUUAAAGGAUAAAGCUCUUCCAAUGAUUAUGUAUUUUAUUUAUAAAAUUCAAACUCCAAAUCUUAUUUAAAAAAAAUAAGAAUCGAACCACUUGAACAAACCAUUGUUGAUAUUAUAAUUAUUUUCAUUAUGGGUUUUUUUUUGUUGUUAUUUCUGCUUUUGUGUGGCAAAACACAAAAUUAAGUUGUUUGAUUAUAUUCUAAAUAUAAGUUUAUGUUUGUGAAAUCCAUUAUAAUUUGUGUUCAACCUAAAAAGCAACAUCAAGCUGCUUUUUAGUGGGUUGCAAACUCAGUUUUUCUCCUCCUAACUACUCUCUCACACAAAAAACUGUUGUUUUUGAAACUUGUCAAAAUACCCGUUCAUCUUCCCCAUCCUCUUCACCUUCACCGGCGUCUUGUUGUUUUGCUUCUGUCCUCCUCUCAUCUUUCUUCCCCCAAAUAUUAUCGCAGACCUUCCCAAUAUUCCACAUUAAUUGAGAUAUUGACUUCAUAUCUAGGGAAAAUAUAUAAAAAUAAGUAUAGUUAAAAUGGACCUAUAUAUUGUAUUAUUUUCACAUAUUUCACCUCUUCUCCCAUUUUAAAAGAAAGACGAAAACCAUCGUUAAUUUUCGAAUUUCUCAUUAAAUCAUGUAUAUGACUCACACAUGUUGAAUUGUUGAUGGAUUUUACUUAUAUUACGCCAUCCCGAGCUAGCAGUACUGGCCUAAUUAAGGAUUAAUGCAGCUUUUAAUUAGGAAGUACGUAGUUAUUUUAUUUAUGAUAAGCAAACAGUAGAAAAUUAAGCAUAUUCUACUUGUUAGUUAACAAAUACCUAUAUGAGGAUUCUGUCACGGAUGAUGAUCUAUUACUUUAAAGCAGAAUUUAGCUGCUCUACAAUGAAAGAGAACAGGUCUUUAUUUAUUUAUGAUCAUAAGCAAACAGUGGAGGCAUAUUCUACUUCUUAAUUUGUUGCCUUAACAAAUACGUAGAGGAGGAUUCUCUCACGGAUGAUGAUCUAUUACUUUAAAUUAAGCAAAUGUUAGCUGCCCUACAAUGAAAGAGAACAAGUCUUUAAACCUUGUGAUAUAGCCUGCAAGAAGAUGGCCCAUGAUCAUGAACAACAUAAUUAUGAAUAUACAGAAAAUCUAUCUCGUUUUGGAGCAUCCCAAGCUCCAGGAGGAAUUCACACCAUAUGCUCUCAGUUGUGAUAAUAUUUUUGAGAUUGUUUGUAUCAUAUCCUUGAGCUCUUUGAUAUAUAUAUGGUCAUCGUGAAAAUCCAUGGACCAUGACUUCGUGACAUAUUUUGGCUGGAGCCUUGCUACAUGUGUACCAUGAAUUUAUCUUGACAUGUUUUUAAGGUGGAUAGCUUUAUGGCACAAUUUGUGCCACCACAUGAUAGAGAUAUUGAUGAGGUACAAAAUGUAAUGCAAAUUCAAGUCAUGCUGGGCAUCAGAAGGAUUUAUUAAGGGAAAUGGGGUUAUUUAUAUGUGCUUAUGGUAUGAACUAGCCAUGGAGAUGAAGAAGAAAAUAAGAGUAACGCAUGCCCCCAACAAAUUUAAAGGCAACCUUCUUGUAUCAUCUUCUAUAAUUAAAACAUGCUUAAUCAAGAAGGAAAGAAAGGAACAUCAAAACAUGACACAACUACGAGAUGUCUUCCCUCUAAUUACUUGCGGGAUCUGAGAUGAUCAUGAUCAAGAACAGUACUGAUCAGAAAGCAUACGUCUUGGUCUUUGGAGAAUCAGCGAUCUUCAAUGUCUCUUCAACGAGCUUCCUGGCCUUCCUGCUUCUUAUUUCAACUCUCAUGCUAUCACUCUUCUCAAUCUUAUCAUAAGGUUUCUUCAUCUUCAAACUUCUUAUUUUCGAUUUCAAGUUCAUCACCAAGCUCCCCAGUCCCAUCGUCAUCAUGGCCAGCCACUACCUUAAAGCACCUGUUAGCCACAAAAAAACAACUAUCAGCACCUUUUAGAAAAACACAAAAAGCCAUAAAAAAGUAGAUCAAGAAAAGAGAA